CUCAACUCCGCUUGAUCCUGGCGGACCCAACUGCUAUCGGGGUGGGACUAAGCCAUGCGAGUUUGCGCCUCUAGCCAUGGGGAGGCGCGGCGCACGGCUCAGUAACACGUGGCUAACUUACCCUUGGGACGGGGACAACCCCGGGAAACUGGGGCUAAUCCCCGAUAGGCAAGGAUGCCUGGAAGGGUUCCUUGCCUAAAGGAAGCUGGAACCAUGCUUCCAGCUUCGCCCAAGGAUAGGGCCGCGUCCGAUCAGGUAGCUGGUGGGGUAACGGCCCACCAGGCCUAUAACCGGUACGGGCCGUGAGAGCGGGAGCCCGGAGAUGGACCCUGAGACAAGGGUCCAGGCCCUACGGGGCGCAGCAGGCGCGAAACC
RNAcentral lists this ribosomal RNA (375 nucleotides) under Candidatus Bathyarchaeota archaeon. Its description in RNAcentral is "bacterial SSU rRNA". It matches the Rfam family "Archaeal small subunit ribosomal RNA", at positions 1 to 348 of the family's 1478-position model. The record is from RNAcentral. Lineage: Archaea; Thermoproteati; Candidatus Bathyarchaeota.